Molecule: unclassified non-coding RNA, 296 nt
Filed under: fungal sp.
Lineage: Eukaryota; Fungi
Description: partial internal transcribed spacer region
Rfam family: Eukaryotic small subunit ribosomal RNA (bases 1-46)
Source: RNAcentral
AAGUCGUAACAAGGUUUCCGUAGGUGAACCUGCGGAAGGAUCAUUAACACGUCUUUAUAUCCAAUAUAUAAACUAAACGCGAACUAAAACCCCCGCCCUAUCAUAUACACGGUCAAGGUUAAUUUUAAUUAACUCUGACUGAUGGUAGGCAAUUUUAUCAACAAUCAUUUUAAACUCUUAUAACCUAGUUGAUCUAACUACUAAGACAUUCUAGUAUUCAUUCAUUCUAUGAAUACUGCUUGUUGUUAUAUUACGAAAUGUAAGAACAACUCUUAGCAAUGGAUAUCUUGGUUCUC